Molecule: ribosomal RNA, 1979 nt
Filed under: Vannella salarenaria
Lineage: Eukaryota; Discosea; Flabellinia; Vannellidae
Description: Vannella sp. AKudryavtsev-2022b partial small subunit ribosomal RNA
Rfam family: Eukaryotic small subunit ribosomal RNA
Source: RNAcentral
CUGGUUGAUUCUGCCAGGAAUGAUAUGCUUACUUUAAAGAUUAAGCCAUGCCACUGUCAGGAUUGAUUUUAAAACAAUAAAACUGGGUACGGCUCAUUAAAUCAGUUAUAGUUUAUUUGAUGGUUUUGAGGUUUACCUCAACUACAUGGAUAACUGUAGUAACCUAGAGCUAAUACAUGCAAAACAACUCGACUUUUUGGAAGGGUUGGCACUUAUUAGAUAUCAAACCAAUAAUCUUCGGAUUUUUUUGGUGAAUCAUAAUAACUGAACAGAUCGCAUGACCUUGUGUUGGCGACGUUUCAUUCAAAUUUCUGCCCUAUCAACUUGAUGUUAGUAUAUUGGACUAACAUGGUUAUAACGGGUAACGGGGAAUUGGGGUUCGAUUCCGGAGAAGGAGCAUGAGAAACGGCUACUACUUCUAAGGAAAGCAGCAGGCGCGCAAAUUAUUCAAUGGAAACAAAUUUCCGAAAUAGUGACAAAAAAUAACAAUACGUUGCAUUUUAAUGUGAUGUAAUUGGAAUGAGUACAAUUUAAAAACCUUAACGAGUAACAAUUAGAGGGCAAGUCUGGUGCCAGCAGCCGCGGUAAUUCCAGCUCUAAUAGUGUAUAUUAAUGUUGUUGCAGUUAAAAAGCUCGUAGUUGAAUUUUGAAUAUUUAUCAAGUUUGGUUUACAUUUUAAUGUAUGACUACUUGAUAAUAUUCUUCCUACUAGAUACUCGAUUCUGUUCUUAAUUGAAUGGAAUAGCAUCCUUUCGGGGGUGUCGGUAGUGAGUACCAGCUCCUCCAGUAUGUGGAGAUGUGUAAAAGCAUUGAAGCAUAUUGAGGGGAUAAAGUUGGUGCUUGCUACUGGAGUUCUAGUUCAUUUACUUUGAGAAAAUUAGAGUGUUUAAAGCAGCCUCUUGGGGCUCUGAAUACAUUAGCAUGGGAUAAUAAAAUAGGAUUUAAAUAAUAUAUUUGUUGGUUUGAAUUGUUUAAAUAAUGAUUAAUAGGGACAGUUGGGGGUAUUUAUAUUGGAUGGUUAGCGGUGAAAUGCAUGGAUCCAUUCAAGAUAAACUAAAGCGAAAGCAUUUACCAAGGAUGUUUUCAUUAAUCAAGAACGAAAGUUAAGGGAUCGAAGAUGAUCAGAUACCGUCGUAGUCUUAACUAUAAACUAUGCCGACCAGGGAUAUGAGUUGUUAUGAAUACUCGUUAGAGUAUUCGAUUUCCUCUUGUGGACCUUGUGAGAAAUCAUAAGUUUUUGGGUUCUGGGGGGAGUAUGGUCGCAAGGCUGAAACUUAAAGGAAUUGACGGAGGGGCACCACCAGGAGUGGAGCGUGCGGCUUAAUUUGACUCAACACGGGAAAACUUACCAGGUCCAGACAUUAGAAGGAUUGACAGAUUGAUAGCUCUUUCAUGAUUUAAUGGGUGGUGGUGCAUGGCCGUUCUUAGUUGGUGGAGUGAUUUGUCUGGUUAAUUCCGAUAACGAACGAGACCUUACCAUACUAAAUAGUUUGACUUAUGAAUUUAUUUCAUAGGUUUAUGAUAGCAAUAUCUAAACUUCUUAGAGGGACUAUUGGUUUCUAAACCAAAGGAAGUAAAGGCGAUAACAGGUCUGUGAUGCCCUUAGAUGUUCUGGGCUGCACGCGCGCUACAAUGAUAGUUUCAACGAGUAUUUAUAUUUUUUUAUAUUUUACUUAACCGGAAGGUUUGGUUAAUCUUAAACAACUAUCGUGCUUGGGAUAGAUGAUUGCAAUUAUUUAUCUUGAACCAGGAAUUCCUAGUAAUCGUAUAUCAUCAGUGUGCGAUGAUUACGUCCCUGCCCCUUGUACACACCGCCCGUCGUUGCUACCGAUUGGAUGAUCCGGUGAACUCUUCGGAUAGAGGUUAACAAUUUCACCCUCGAGGCAGCUAUGACCAUGAGAACGCCAAUAUCCCAUACCACUCACAAGAAGCAAAACUCGCAUCCAGGCCUCCGCAGGUGACUACGCCACGUAGGAUCG